UGCGUAGGGUGCGAGCGUUAAUCGGAAUUACUGGGCGUAAAGCGUGCGCAGGCGGUUUUGUAAGCCAGAUGUGAAGUCCCCGGGCUUAACCUGGGAAUGGCAUUUGGGACUGCAAGGCUGGAGUGUGGCAGAGGAGACUGGAAUUCCUGGUGUAGCAGUGAAAUGCGUAGAUAUCAGGAGGAAUACCGAUGGCGAAGGCAGGUCUCUGGGCUGACACUGACGCUCAUGCACGAAAGCGUGGGGAGCAAACAGG
RNAcentral lists this ribosomal RNA (253 nucleotides) under uncultured bacterium. Its description in RNAcentral is "partial 16S ribosomal RNA". It matches the Rfam family "Bacterial small subunit ribosomal RNA", at positions 524 to 776 of the family's 1533-position model. The record is from RNAcentral.